Molecule: small RNA, 28 nt
Filed under: Bombyx mori (domestic silkworm)
Lineage: Eukaryota; Metazoa; Arthropoda; Insecta; Lepidoptera; Bombycidae
Description: ovarian small RNA-32259
Source: RNAcentral
UGAGUCACUCCUAUUGCACGUGCUAAAU